UCGGGUGUAAAAACUCCAAACCCAUGUGAACCUACCACUGUUGCCUCGGCGCAGUUUCCUGUCUGGUGGCGAGAGCUGCUGGGCGGGUUGCGCCGGUGGACUACCAAACUCUUGUAAUUUUGGCAUUCUGAAUAAAAACUUAAUAAGUUA
This 150-nucleotide unclassified non-coding RNA is filed under the name uncultured Ascomycota. RNAcentral's name for it is "sequence contains ITS1". Lineage: Eukaryota; Fungi; Ascomycota. The record is from RNAcentral.